UAGGGAAUAUUGCUCAAUGGGGGAAACCCUGAAGCAGCAACGCCGCGUGGAGGAUGAAGGUUUUCGGAUUGUAAACUCCUUUUGUUAGAGAAGAUAAUGACGGUAUCUAACGAAUAAGCACCGGCUAACUCCGUGCCAGCAGCCGCUGUAAUAUACGUCU
Molecule: ribosomal RNA, 160 nt
Filed under: uncultured bacterium
Lineage: Bacteria
Description: partial 16S ribosomal RNA
Rfam family: Bacterial small subunit ribosomal RNA
Source: RNAcentral